AACCCGAUUUUCAUGGAUCUUU
Molecule: microRNA, 22 nt
Filed under: Pristionchus pacificus
Lineage: Eukaryota; Metazoa; Nematoda; Chromadorea; Rhabditida; Neodiplogasteridae
Description: ppc-miR-8279-5p
Source: miRBase by way of RNAcentral